AGUAUCAGUAAUUCCCAUGUCUAUGUAAGCUGACAUAACACUAUUUCAGAAUUCAUCAUAGCAUAUAUGCAGAUCAAGUAUCAAAAAUUAGAAAUAUAUCCAUAAUGUUUUUCAUUAGAAAAAAUAAUUACUAUGAUCAUAUUUUGGUACACGAAGUGAAGUGAUAUGAUUAGAGCUCAAUAAGUUUAACCAUCUUCAGUAACUGAUUAAGUAACUUUAUUAUUGUAAUUAUAUGGUAAUGCUGAGAUAUAAAUGGGUCCAUAUUCUGUCAUUUGUCCAAGGCUUGUUUGUCCGAGUCUGUGACUGACUGCAGCUGAUAUGAUAGCAGCAAGCAAGUGAGGUCAAGUUGUCCGCAGUCUGUCAGUCAUCAGGUCAGCCGGCUUCUCUGAUCUGCAGAGGUGCUCCACAUCCCUUAACGCUGCCAGCCAAGUUAAAUAUUCAGCACCUGAGUAUUGUGAGACAUGUGGCGAGGUCUCCUGCAGCUUGUUACUAACAUGCCGAGGAAACUGAACACCUACAGUAGAAAGAUGAUUGGAACCAUGUUUACUUCCUUGAUGGAAAGAUGACGGCCUGUUCAAAUCCACAGACGUGAAAACGAAACUGUUAGAAAGGGAAAAGGAUCAUCCAAGCCAUCGUCAAGGAAAAGUGUGACAUAUGUUUGCACAACCAUAUCACGCCACGGCCUGACGUCCUAUCAAGAAAAGAAGCCUGACCUCAAUGUCCUAUCAAGGAAAAAGCCUGACAUCAUAAAUGAAAUAAAUAAAAA
Long non-coding RNA from Oryzias melastigma (Indian medaka), 766 nucleotides. RefSeq lists it as uncharacterized. NCBI's taxonomy places the organism in Eukaryota, Metazoa, Chordata, Actinopteri, Beloniformes, Adrianichthyidae. The transcript has 4 exons. The record is from RefSeq and is a predicted model, not a curated record.